RNAcentral lists this ribosomal RNA (438 nucleotides) under Flavobacterium terrigena. RNAcentral's name for it is "bacterial SSU rRNA". It matches the Rfam family "Bacterial small subunit ribosomal RNA", at positions 338 to 773 of the family's 1533-position model. The record is from RNAcentral. Lineage: Bacteria; Pseudomonadati; Bacteroidota; Flavobacteriia; Flavobacteriales; Flavobacteriaceae.
CCUACGGGGGGCAGCAGUGAGGAAUAUUGGACAAUGGGCGCAAGCCUGAUCCAGCCAUGCCGCGUGCAGGAAGAAGGUCCUAUGGAUUGUAAACUGCUUUUAUACAGGAAGAAACACCUCUACGUGUAGAGACUUGACGGUACUGUAUGAAUAAGCACCGGCUAACUCCGUGCCAGCAGCCGCGGUAAUACGGAGGGUGCAAGCGUUAUCCGGAAUCAUUGGGUUUAAAGGGUCCGUAGGCGGCCAAAUAAGUCAGUGGUGAAAGCCCAUCGCUCAACGAUGGAACGGCCAUUGAUACUGUUUGGCUUGAAUUAUUAGGAAGUAACUAGAAUAUGUAGUGUAGCGGUGAAAUGCUUAGAGAUUACAUGGAAUACCAAUUGCGAAGGCAGGUUACUACUAAUAUAUUGACGCUGAUGGACGAAAGCGUGGGGAGCGAAC